GCAAAACGCGAAGAACCUUACCAGGCCUUGACAUGCAGAGAACUUUCCAGAGAUGGUUCCUUCAGUUCGGCUGGAUACAACACAGGUGCUGCAUGGCUGUCGUCAGCUCGUGUCGUGAGAUGUUCGGUUAAGUCCGGCAACGAGCGCAACCCACACUUUCAGUUGCCAUCAUUCAGUUGGGCACUCUGGAAGAACUGCCGGUGAUAAGCCGGAGGAAGGUGUGGAUGACGUCAAGUCCUCAUGGCCCUUACGGGUUGGGCUACACACGUGCUACAAUGGUGGUGACAAUGGGUUAAUCCCCAAAAGCCAUCUCAGUUCGGAUUGGGGUCUGCAACUCGACCCCAUGAAGUCGGAAUCGCUAGUAAUCGCGUAACAGCAUGACGCGGUGAAUACGUUCCCGGGUCUUGUACACACCG
RNAcentral lists this ribosomal RNA (416 nucleotides) under uncultured bacterium. Its description in RNAcentral is "bacterial SSU rRNA". It matches the Rfam family "Bacterial small subunit ribosomal RNA", at positions 954 to 1392 of the family's 1533-position model. The record is from RNAcentral.